This 348-nucleotide long non-coding RNA is filed under the name Eucalyptus grandis. RNAcentral describes it as "long non-coding RNA (EGRA_LNC002167)". The record is from RNAcentral. Lineage: Eukaryota; Viridiplantae; Streptophyta; Magnoliopsida; Myrtales; Myrtaceae.
GAAGACUUAGAAACUUCUCAUUGGCUUUCACAUUAAAUAUAAUCCCCAUAAUGAUAUAACACAUGCAUAGAAAAAAUCCCAAUUGAUAGAGCAUCUUCCCUUUCUUCACUCGUGCAAGCUCUUCCUUUAAAAGUCCAUUUUUCGCCUUUUGCGCCUUCAUUUUAGCUAUCAGUGAGCUUACAUAAUCGUCGUUGCAUCUGGAUUGGCUUGACUCCGAUAGUGCUUGAUUUCUUUCAAGCAGUUCGACUAUCAUGUCCCUCGCUUGAUCCGGUAUUUUUUGGUCAACCCACAUGAAGAAAUUGCAGCAACCUGGACCAUCAAACUUAGCACAUCCAUAGAACCUUCUUC